RNAcentral lists this ribosomal RNA (497 nucleotides) under uncultured bacterium. RNAcentral's name for it is "partial 16S ribosomal RNA". It matches the Rfam family "Bacterial small subunit ribosomal RNA", at positions 28 to 507 of the family's 1533-position model. The record is from RNAcentral.
GAUGAACGCUGGCGGCGUGCCUAAUACAUGCAAGUCGAGCGAACAGAUAAGGAGCUUGCUCCUUUGACGUUAGCGGCGGACGGGUGAGUAACACGUGGGUAACCUACCUAUAGGACUGGAAUAACUCCGGGAAACCGGGGCUAAUGCCGGAUAACAUUUAGAACCGCAUGGUUCUAAAGUGAAAGAUGGUUUUGCUAUCACUUAUAGAUGGACCCGCGCCGUAUUAGCUAGUUGGUAAGGUAACGGCUUACCAAGGCAACGAUACGUAGCCGACCUGAGAGGGUGAUCGGCCACACUGGAACUGAGACACGGUCCAGACUCCUACGGGAGGCAGCAGUAGGGAAUCUUCCGCAAUGGGCGAAAGCCUGACGGAGCAACGCCGCGUGAGUGAUGAAGGUCUUCGGAUCGUAAAACUCUGUUAUUAGGGAAGAACAAAUGUGUAAGUAACUGUGCACGUCUUGACGGUACCUAAUCAGAAAGCCACGGCUAACUACGUG